RNAcentral lists this ribosomal RNA (253 nucleotides) under uncultured bacterium. RNAcentral describes it as "partial 16S ribosomal RNA". It matches the Rfam family "Bacterial small subunit ribosomal RNA", at positions 524 to 776 of the family's 1533-position model. The record is from RNAcentral.
UACGUAGGUGGCAAGCGUUGUCCGGAGUUAUUGGGCGUAAAGCGCGCGCAGGCGGUCCUUUAAGUCUGAUGUGAAAGCCCACGGCUCAACCGUGGAGGGUCAUUGGAAACUGGGGGACUUGAGUGCAGAAGAGGAAAGCGGAAUUCCACGUGUAGCGGUGAAAUGCGUAGAGAUGUGGAGGAACACCUGCGGCGAAGGCGGGUUGCUGGGCUGACACUGACGCUGAUGCGCGAAAGCCAGGGGAGCGAACGGG